This 460-nucleotide ribosomal RNA is filed under the name uncultured bacterium. RNAcentral describes it as "partial 16S ribosomal RNA". It matches the Rfam family "Bacterial small subunit ribosomal RNA", at positions 338 to 795 of the family's 1533-position model. The record is from RNAcentral.
CCUACGGGUGGCAGCAGUGAGGAAUAUUGGUCAAUGGGCGCGAGCCUGAACCAGCCAAGUAGCGUGAAGGAUGACUGCCCUACGGGUUGUAAACUUCUUUUAUAAAGGAAUAAAGUGAGGCACGUGUGCCUUAUUGUAUGUACUUUAUGAAUAAGGUUCGGCUAACUCCGUGCCAGCAGCCGCGGUAAUACGGAGGAUACGAGCGUUAUCCGGAUUUAUUGGGUUUAAAGGGAGCGUAGAUGGGUUGUUAAGUUAGUGGUGAAAGUUUGGGGCUCAACGUUAAAAUUGCAAUUGAUACUGGCAGCCGUGAGUACAGGUGAGGUAGGCGGAAUUCGUGGUGUAGCGGUGAAAUGCUUAGAUAUCACGAAGAACUCUGAUUGCGAAGGCAGCCUACUAAACUGCCACUGACAUUGAUGCUCGAAAGUGAGGGUAUCAAACAGGAUUAGAUACCCGGGUAGUC